GACGAACGCUGGCGGCGUGCUUAACACAUGCAAGUCGAACGGACAGGCCCUGCUUUUGUGGGGCGCUCGAGUGGCGCACGCGUGAGUAACACGUGAGUAACAUGUCCUUGACUUUGGGGUAACUUCAGGAAACUGGGGCUCAUACCGGAUAGGAGCUCCUGCUGCACGGUGGGGGUUGGAAAGUUUCGGCGGUUGGGGCUGGACUCGCGGCUUAUCAGCUUGUUGGUGGGGUAGUGGCUUACAAAGGCUUUGACGGGUAGCCGGCCUGAGAGGGUGGACGGGCACAAGGGGACUGAGAGAGGGCCCAGUCGGCAACCGGAGGCAACAGGCGAGAAUAUGGCACAAUGGGCGGGAGCCAGAUGCGGAAACGCCGCGUUCGGGAUAACGUGCUACGGGGUGUAAACCGCUGUCGCCUGUAACGAAGCGUGAGUGACGGUAAUUGGUAAAGAAGCACCGGCUAACUACGUG
RNAcentral lists this ribosomal RNA (468 nucleotides) under uncultured bacterium. RNAcentral's name for it is "partial 16S ribosomal RNA". It matches the Rfam family "Bacterial small subunit ribosomal RNA", at positions 28 to 507 of the family's 1533-position model. The record is from RNAcentral.